Oncorhynchus nerka (sockeye salmon) is the source of this 2986-nucleotide long non-coding RNA. RefSeq lists it as uncharacterized. Lineage: Eukaryota; Metazoa; Chordata; Actinopteri; Salmoniformes; Salmonidae. The record is from RefSeq and is a predicted model, not a curated record. The transcript is spliced from 2 exons.
GCAGAAGUGUGUCAGGUGGGUUAACAAGGAAAAGGUCGUUACAGUCACUGUUCAAACAAUCUGAAUUUCCUGUUUGCCUUUCCUGGUCAAUUAGGUGAUUCCAGGCAGUCCAGUCAGGUUCUUCUCUACACAAAGAGAAGUCUAGAGUGAGAUUACAGUUGUUCUCAUUUGCUUAAACACAGAAAUGGUUUCCUGUAGCAGGGUCGGGGUAUGCAGAGGUCAGUAAUCCAGUGGGGAACAAAGGUGCAGGUCAGCAGGGAGGCUCGGGGUCAGGGGCAGGCAGAGUGGUCAGGCAAGCGGGCUCGGGGUCAGGGGCAGGCAGAGUGGUCAGGCAAGCAGGCUCGGGGUCAGGGGCAGGCAGAGUGGUCAGGCAAGCAGGCUCGGGGUCAGGGGCAGGCAGAGUGGUCAGGCAAGCGGGCUCGGGGUCAGGGGCAGGCAGAGUGGUCAGGCAAGCAGGCUCGGGGUCAGGGGCAGGCAGAGUGGUCAGGCAAGCAGGCUCUGAAUCAGGACAGGCUCAAAACCAGGAGGGCGCAGAAAGGGGAGGCUGGAAAAAGCAGGAGCUGAAACACAAGCCGCUGGUUGACUUGACAAACAAGACGAAUUUGCAACGGACAUACAGACAACACAGGUAUAUAUACACAGGGGAUAAUGGGGAAGAUGGGAGACACCUGGAGGGGGUGGAGAUAAUCACAAGGACAGGUGAAACAGAUCCGGGUGUGACAAUAUAUUCAUUCAGCAGACAUGCUCUGAAUAUAAUUAACUCAAGUCAUCACAACCUAAACUCAAAUUGUUAACACACCAAUCAGAAUAGCAGGAUCAAUAAAUAGGGCCUAGAGGCAUGUCCACCUUCUUUGGAACAAUGGAUCCUAAAAAUGCCGAAGUUGCAAGACAACAUGGAGAAAGAGGACGACAAUGACAACAACAACAACAACAAGUAAUCUUAGAUGAAAUCCGUGACACCCUAGUUCAUCAUGUGCUCAUAGAUGGGAGGACCAUGAGAGAAGCUGGACAGCUAGUGCAACUCAACCUAAGCUAUUACACGGUUGCAUCCAAUGUCUGUACUUUCAGAAGGGAAAACAGGACCUGAGCCCUAGGACCAUGCCCCAGGACUACCUGACAUGAUGACUCCUUGCUGUCCCCAGUCCACCUGGCCAUGCUGCUGCUCCAGUUUCAACUGGCCUGGGCCCUAGGACCAUGUCCCAGGACUACCUGACAUGAUGACUCCUUGCUGUCCCCAGUCCACCUGGCCAUGCUGCUGCUCCAGUUUCAACAUUUCUGCCUUACUAUUAUUCAACCAUGCUGGUCAUUUAUGAACAUUUGAACAUCUUGGCCACGUUCUGUUAUAAUCUCCACCCGGCACAGCCAGAAGAGGACUGGCCACCCCACAUAUGCUCUCUCUAAUUCUCUCUUUCUUUCUCUCUCUCUCGGAGGACCUGAGCCCUAGGACCGUGCCCCAGGACUACCUGACAUGAUGACUCCUUGCUGUCCCCAGUCCACCUGACUGUGCUGCUGCUCCAGUUUCAACUGUUCUGCCUUAUUAUUAUUCGACCAUGCUGGUCAUUUAUGAACAUUUGAACAUCUUGGUCAUGUUCUGUUAUAAUCUCUACCCGGCACAGCCAGAAGAGGACUGGCCACCCCACAUAGCCUGGUUCCUCUCUAGGUUUCUUCCUAGGUUUUGGCCUUUCUAGGGAGUUUUUCCUAGCCACCGUGCUUUUACACCUGCAUUGUUUGCUGUUUGGGGUUUUAGGCUGGGUUUCUGUACAGCACUUUGAGAUAUCAGCUGAUGUACGAAGGGCUAUAUAAAUAAAUUUGAUUUUGAUUUGAUUUGAUUUGGCCAUCUAUUGGAGGUAGGCGGAGACUUCUCACAGCUGAACAGGAAAUUGCCCUGGUGAAUAUGGUGAUUGCUAGUAAUGUCACCAGUUUGAGGGAAAUUCAAACCCAAAUAGUUGAAGACCAGGUAGUCUUCCAAGGCAUUGACAGCAGCAGCAUGACCGGAUCGUUCAGUAGAAUCACAUAAGGACAAAGCAGCUGUACUGUGUUCAAAUUCAAACAGAGUUAAGGAGCAAGGAUUCCAAUAUGUGCAGGUAAUUGUUAUACUGUACAGAAUUUGUACAGCAUGUAGAGUACGGCCCAUCUCUCCAGCAUAUCAAUACAGUACUGUAUAGUAAUGUGUUACAGUAACUGCAGUAACUGCAGUACACAAUCUUUCAUUCCAGUACAGUAGUACACUACAGUGCUGUAUUUGUAGUACAGUAAAAUGCAUGUUUUUGGACUUCUGUAGAGAAUCUUUGCGCUGGAUGCCAUGGCUGACCCUUAGGAGUACAUCUUCAUCGACGAUGCAGGGUUCAACCUAACAAAAAGGUGCGAAAAGGGGCUCAACGUCAUUGGUCACCGUGCCAUCAUACAAGUUCCUGGUCAGAGGGGAGGCAAUGUCAUCCUAUGUGCAGCCAUCAGCAAUGUCAAAGUGGGUCCAUACAACACGGCACAACGUCACCCUAUGUGCAGCCAUCAGCAAUGUCAAAGUGGGUCCAUACAACACGACACAACGUCACCCUAUGUGCAGCCAUCAGCAAUGUCAAAGUGGGUCCAUACAACACGGCACAACGUCACCCUAUGUGCAGCCAUCAGCAAUGUCAAAGUGGGUCCAUACAACAUGGCACAACUCCUUCAAUUUCUAGAUCAGCUGCACAAUAACAUUCCUCAACAGGAGGGGGAGCCAGGGCAACCAGAGCAAGCCCAAUAUGUUGUCAUUUGGGAUAAUGUGAGUUUCCAUCAGGCUGCUCUGGUUCACGCCUGGUUCAAUGACCACCCCAGGUUCAGCGUUCUUUUUUUUUGCCAGCAUAUUCCCAAUUUCUGAUGAAUUUCUCAGCAUGGCGGGUAAAACUAACCUGUCUCACGACGGUCUAAUCGCAGCUCACGUUCCCUAUUAGUGGGUGAACAAUCCAACGCUUGGUGAAUUCUGCUUCACAAUGAUAGGAAGAGCCGA